GGGGGUCUACCCGCUGAAGCCUUGCCGCAGCGACUCUAAACACAUGCACCAGUCCGCUUUGCGGGCAACACCACGAUCUUACUGGGACCUCCGCACUGACCAGCAGUGCGGAAACCAGCCGCCUGCACCUCACAGGUUCACAGAUCAAACAGUGGUGGCCAAUCUCUUUGCCGCGUCACCACCCGGGCAGAUUGGUUAAGAUAUGACCGGUCUUCGCUGUAACCAGCUGAAGAAGCCAUGUUCCGUAGGUGAACCUGCGGAAGGAUCAUUACAGAGUUAGGGUCUUUCAGGCCCAACCUCCAACCCCAUGCAUAUCUACCUUUGUUGCUUUGGCGGGCCCGUUUGAGGCCACUCACCGGCGGCCGUGACUGCUGAGCGCCCGUCAAAGACCCAUCAAACUCUGUCAAUUGUGAUGUCUGAGUAUCAAUACAAUCGUUAAAACUUUCAACAACGGAUCUCUUGGUUCUGGCAUCGAUGAAGAACGCAGCGAAAUGCGAUAAGUAAUGUGAAUUGCAGAAUUCAGUGAAUCAUCGAAUCUUUGAACGCACAUUGCGCCCUUCGGUAUUCCGGAGGGCAUGCCUGUUCGAGCGUCAUUACACCACUCAAGCUUGGCUUGGUAUUGGGUGCUCGUCCCCGUGGACGUGCCCGGAAAUCAGCGGCGGUACAGCCCGGCUUCAAGCAGUAUUAAGUCAUCUCUCGCUUUGGAAGCUCGGGUGUGAACCUGCCGGACAACUCCCAUCUUUCUCAGGUUGACCUCGGAUCAGGUAGGGAUACCCGCUGAACUUAAGCAUAUCAAUAAGCGGAGGAAAAGAAACCAACAGGGAUUGCCUCAGUAACGGCGAGUGAAGCGGCAACAGCUCAAAUUUGAAAUCUGGCUCUUUCAGGGCCCGAGUUGUAAUUUGUAGAGGAUGCUUCGGGUACGGCUCCGGUCUAAGUUCCUUGGAACAGGACGUCGCAGAGGGUGAGAAUCCCGUAUGUGACCGGCCUCCACGCCCGUGUGAAGCUCCUUCGACGAGUCGAGUUGUUUGGGAAUGCAGCUCAAAAUGGGUGGUAAAUUUCAUCUAAAGCUAAAUAUUGGCCAGAGACCGAUAGCGCACAAGUAGAGUGAUCGAAAGAUGAAAAGCACUUUGGAAAGAGAGUCAAACAGUACGUGAAAUUGUUGAAAGGGAAGCGCUUGCAAUCAGACUUGCCCGCGGGUGAUCAACCGGUAUUCUUACCGGUGCACUCGCCCGUGGUCAGGCCAGCAUCGGUUUGGGCGGUUGGACAAAGUCCACCGGAACGUAGCUCCUCUCGGGGAGUGUUAUAGCCGGUGGUGCAAUGCAACCCGCCUGGACCGAGGACCGCGCU
RNAcentral lists this small RNA (1347 nucleotides) under Acarospora glaucocarpa. RNAcentral describes it as "eukaryotic LSU rRNA". The stretch from base 751 to 1347 matches the Rfam family "Eukaryotic large subunit ribosomal RNA", at positions 1 to 601 of the family's 3401-position model. The record is from RNAcentral. Lineage: Eukaryota; Fungi; Ascomycota; Lecanoromycetes; Acarosporales; Acarosporaceae.